ACAUAGGGGAGCUUGUAAACAGGCUGAGAGGAAGGUGUGACCUUCGACCCAUAGACCUGAUUUGGAUAAUGCCAACGUAGGGAAAAAAUAUUGU
This 94-nucleotide non-coding RNA is filed under the name chicken gut metagenome. Its description in RNAcentral is "TPP riboswitch (THI element)". The stretch from base 4 to 84 matches the Rfam family "TPP riboswitch aptamer (THI element)", at positions 10 to 89 of the family's 105-position model. From Rfam's summary of the family: Vitamin B(1) in its active form thiamin pyrophosphate (TPP) is an essential coenzyme that is synthesised by coupling of pyrimidine and thiazole moieties in bacteria. The previously detected thiamin-regulatory element, thi box was extended, resulting in a new, highly conserved RNA secondary structure, the THI element, which is widely distributed in eubacteria and also occurs in some archaea. Analysis of operon structures identified a large number of new candidate thiamin-regulated genes, mostly transporters, in various prokaryotic organisms. The record is from RNAcentral.